RNAcentral lists this unclassified non-coding RNA (2372 nucleotides) under Yarrowia lipolytica. Lineage: Eukaryota; Fungi; Ascomycota; Dipodascomycetes; Dipodascales. The record is from RNAcentral.
UUGUACUCCACCGGAUCACAUGACACGUGCACACUACACACAAUCCCCUUAUCUCGCCUCCUUCUCACCACUACCACCGACUAAUCCGGAAUCCGGUUUGGGCAAAAGACAAGGGUGCGAAACCAAGUAAACAGGUAGCGUUGCAGGAGAAAAGAGAAGGAACAGGCCGUGAGGGAACAACAGAGCGGACAGCCACAGCUGCAUAACUCGAUUUAUCCUGGCUGCUCUGUGAUUCUGCGGUGUUUGGCCGUCGUGGCAGCGCACGUUGGGGGAUUGCUGAUUUAGUGCUGCCAACGCCAAGUAACGGUGAAGUAACGGCUCAACUACGAACCGACAUUACACGACCCAAAAUGCAACUCGAUUACACACACCAUGACCAAUACGAAGACGACACGUGACAACCGUUCUUUUUCUGCACACCUCCGCCCUUUCCACCCGUCUUCCACGCCUGCUCCCGCUUCUCCAUGCCUCAACUCUUUUGCCGCUAACUGGUUUCACCUUCCGAGAGUUGCACUAAGUGCGUCAGUCUGACACCCGAAACGAAACCAUCUCGGCCCAAGAUGCUAAACAGACGCUAAAACACACACUAGCAGCGGGUUAGCGGGUGUCAGGAGUGAUGCAGAGGCGGGUAAGAGUGGGCACAUUGGCGGAAUCGUGUAUUUACCAGCAAGCGUUCAACCAAAUCACCUUCUCAUCAACCUAGUCCCCAAUCGCCUUUUCGCCUUCCUGUCUCCGUCCAACCUCUACGAUCCCACCCAUUCCAGCCCGACUUUUCGAUUAUCCCGCAUUAAUUGAACGCACGCCGCUCCCACCAUUUCUCCCUCUGCACUCUGUGGAUCUCGACUCGCGAUAAGCCAGAUACGCAAUGCAUACGAAAAGGCUCACGGCGCAGCGCCUCCACUGUGCCCUCUGCCUCAGGCGGUGCUGAUCCCUGUGCCUAUACGACCAUUGUCCGUGCAAUUUUAAGGAGUUAUGCCCCCCAGGUGUUGUCGUCGAAUGUCGCCAUGAGCGUGAGUGACACAGCAGGAUCAUGACAAGAUAUUUUAUUUUCCAAAAUAUUUAUUUUCCAGAACAUUUACUUUUCAGGAAUAUUUAUUUUUCAGAUGUGGACAAUUCGGGCCGUUACAGCAACCACAUCAGCUACAAGUACACCCUGCAACAUGACUGAUUAGCAGAAAAACACACACCAAAACCGCUUGGCAUCUCGUUCUUCGCUCUACACCAACCUGAGAGGCAACAACACCCUCGUAUCUCAACAUGGAACCAUCAUAAGCCCUCGUACCGGCACGCUCACUCAUGUCAAAACACGCUCACUCGUGUCAAGACACACCCACCCACACCCACCGACAUCCACCGACAUCCCCAUCCCUGCAUACACACGUAUUCGAUCGUGCAUACAUGACAGGGGUGCGUCUGUGCGUCUGUCCCGUGUCUGAAACGUCACGUGACCGCGCAUACAUCGACAUGUCUUGGUGGGGGUACCAUGUAUGUACAAUGUACUGUGGUGUAGGUAGUAGGUAUCGAUGGAGUUCAGUAGGUAUCAGUGGGGUCACGGUUAUGCGAAGAAGGACUGAAAAGAAGUCACUGAUUGUUCUUCAGACAGGGAAGAACACAGUCAUGAUUUUACUCGAUUUCCUCUGAUUAAAUCCGAUUAAAUCAGCUAUCUAUAGAGGGAUCCUUCACCUGUGUCCUCCACCAAAAACGCCAAUACGGAAGACGCAUUUGGAUGGGCAAUGCGCACCAACCAUAAAAAGAUUUAUGCAAACAAAUACACAGAUCUUGAACUGUGUAGGGGCGUAUAGAUGUGUUGUUAACUAGACCAGUUGGUCUCGUAUGGACAAUCUGACAGCUCCAGAAUCAUCCACCACCUCUUGCCACUACAUUUAAAGUCUCGCCACAUCUCUAUCUCUCUCAAAGCCCCUUCCACAGCCUCUCUUCUCGCCCUACCUAGACUCACAAGGUCACUUUUCCGUAAAAGUUUGUUUUUCGGGAAGAUCUUUUGCCAGAUGCGGCCUACAUGUGACAUCAACAAAGGGAGCAUGUAGCGGCUGAACGGAGGGGUUUUCUGACUAAACAAUUGGGUGAGGGGAGAUGCUGAUACCUCAAUUGGCCCCAUUUCGACCUUUUUCCCUCUGUUUUGCCAGACCUGCAGCUCCUGCAACUCCUGUCUAUGGUCUGUAACACAUUUGAUCUAUCCAUGUCUCUGCUCUCAUAAUUAAUACGACACUGGCUGAAAAGUUUGACUUUGAGUCUAACCUACGCCGAAAGUAUUUUUUGGGGCCGUGCGAUUGGGUGUUGAUUUGGCGGUGGUGGUUAUAAUCGCUGGGGAAAUGGAUCAAUGGUCAAUGGUCAAUGGGGUAGAUCAAGAGAGA